RNAcentral lists this ribosomal RNA (930 nucleotides) under Triticum aestivum (bread wheat). RNAcentral describes it as "partial small subunit ribosomal RNA". Lineage: Eukaryota; Viridiplantae; Streptophyta; Magnoliopsida; Poales; Poaceae. The record is from RNAcentral.
AUGAUGGUACCUUGUUCGCGGAAGGUCCGCAUUUCCUGCUGUGAUCCUGACGCCACCGAUUCCUCUGAUGAAGAUGAUCGGCAUGCGAAGAAGGAAAAGAGAAUGACAAUGGAGGUGCUAGUUCCAGUGAAAACCUCCGGACCCCUCAAGUCUCGAAAGACCCUUGUGCCAUGUGGCACCAAGAAAUCAAUGGGUACAGAGAAGAAGCAACCAACCAGCAAGUACCCUGGUGUGCGCCUGCGGUCAUGGGGUAAGUGGGCUGCGGAGAUACGUGAUCCUGUGAGCAAGACCCGGAAAUGGAUUGGCACAUUUACCUCUGAGGAGGCCGCUGCUGCAGCAUAUGAGGCAGAACGGAACCGGGUACGCACUGAGAUGUUGGCCAUCAAAUCUCGGUCACCUCCAUCAGAACAUGAAGCUGUGUCCAGCGAAGCUACUGUAUCCUGUGUGUCUUCAUCUGUGUCGUCCGGUGACCAGAAAGCACAAGAGGUACACAAGUUAGCGUCAAUGGAGAUAGACCCUGACACUGCUGAUGAGAGCUUACUGCACUGCUCACCGGAACCGCUAGGUAAAGAAAUCCAGGUAGAUGCUUUCCUUGGCCGGAUGAAUGUUGAUGAAAGCUUAGUGCACUGCUCAUCGACACCUAGCGAUGAAGAAAUUCCUGUGGAUGCAUUCCGCAGCCAGAUGAACGAGCUUCCUAUCGGCGACUAUGUUUGCGCAACUGACAAACUCUCACUGGAUGAUAUUUCAAGGCUGGCAGAUAUGUUUCCUGUCAAUGACUUCGUCGACACAACAGGCGAGCCGCCUGGUGACGACUACAUCGGGCUGGCAGACAUCAGCCAUCUACCGAUGCCAAUGUUCGAGUUGGAUGCAGAACUUAAUUGGGAAGGCUUCGACUUUGCUUCGAUGGAACAUGAACUAGAGAAACUUUGA